Solanum tuberosum (potato) is the source of this 510-nucleotide long non-coding RNA. RefSeq lists it as uncharacterized. The transcript has 2 exons. Lineage: Eukaryota; Viridiplantae; Streptophyta; Magnoliopsida; Solanales; Solanaceae. The record is from RefSeq and is a predicted model, not a curated record.
AUUUUCUUAAAAAGAGUGAGUGAAAAAUAAGAAAAACGAGGCGAAGAGUUGUGUGCUAUGGGAGUGGUGAGUAAAGCAGGAGAUUGGGCAUUCAAAGCCUUCUCGGCGGGGCUGGGUGUUGCCACCAUUUUCUUCGCCGCCACUUUCUCCGCCAACGUCUACCGUGGUCUCUCUUGGCAUAACCGACAAUCGAGGGUUGAGAAGGAAGGAUCUAAAGUCCUGCAGCAGCAAGAAUGAUGGUUUGAGAAGUCCUGCACUUCCACAUCGCGUUGCUAGCUGAGGUCAUGCUAUAAGUUCUGAAUCUUUUUAAAGUGAUGCAAUAACUUCUACACGAGUAUGGUUUACAUUCCGUCUUUUCUGUUCCCGGCCACAUAAUUGUGGAGAUAUAAUUCUGAGAUACCUAUUUAGUUAUAGCAACUGAUGACCGUUUUAAAAAUGUAGUUGGAAUGAUGUUUGAAAUUCAUGUGUGAAUUGAAAUUAUAGAAUACAAAGUAUUACUUUUCCUGGAAA